Non-coding RNA from Cyanistes caeruleus (blue tit), 1402 nucleotides. The record is from RefSeq and is a predicted model, not a curated record. NCBI's taxonomy places the organism in Eukaryota, Metazoa, Chordata, Aves, Passeriformes, Paridae.
UAUUGGGACUCAGACCUGGGGUGGGGACCCAAGGAAUUGCUUGCACCACUGGUGCUCCCACACUGGAAGCUCCAAGGAGGAGGCACAAUUCAGCUUUGCAGCACACGCUGCAGAACUGGAGAACUGAGGUUUCCAUCCUCAUGAGAAUAGCCAGGAGGCUUGUUGUUCUGGCUCAUUGUCUUGGGGGGGCCAGUCCUUUCCAGUCCUCUGAGGUCAUGGUGAUGCAGGAGGAUGGUUUCUAAGCAGGCUUAGGUGAUGCAGGAUGAUGAUUUUUCAUCAUAGCUUGCUAGAAUAUGUUUCUUUGUCCUUUUAUUCCUUUGUUAACUCAUUGUUUUGGUGUCUUGAAUGCCUUAGUCUGCUUGGUCACACAGCCCCCUGGGAGUUGCUUUGUUACAUCGUGGCACAGCCCCCAUGGGAGCAGCUUUGUUCCUUAGUAACAGGGAAGUAAGGGAAAGGGGUAGAGGUAUGUCUGUCCUACAAGAACUCUUAAAACACUUCAACAAUUGGCAAUCUCACCUCUGUCCUGCAGCAUCACAGUGAAGUUAGAGUAACUCACUGACUAAAGGUUAACAGAACUUUGCCUGUAGCAGCAGCUUGUGGACAUGUGCACUGUUUGCCACAUUAGAAGUGAUACUCUGACUCCAGGGAAACCAAAAGCAGCAUGUGCCACUGCCUGUUUGGAGUCAUGUGGUACUGACUGCUCUCAGAUAUGUUUGUUCCAUACCAGCUGGCAAUCAAACAGGACAGUGUGACUGGAAGUGGCCAGUGGAUUCAGAACCUGUAGGGGAGCAUGCAAGCGAGGGAGGAAGGAAUUAACUACCAGCACUUGCUAUGUGAUGACUGUGCAGCACAAUUGGCUGGAAAAUUUCACAUCUUCCAAAAAAUACUACCCCAACAUGUUGGUCUUGUGUGCACUUUUGCCAGCAAGGGGGUGUGAAGGAAGAUACCUCUCAUGGGAUGGAUGUGCCACACAAAUUCAUGGCCAGCUGGAAAUGGUCAGGUUCUAAUACCAUGAAGAUGUGAAGAAUUUGUAGAAAACUUUGGGCUUGUCAAUAUGGCACUUAUCAUCAGCCCUACAAGAACUUGAAAGUAAGCACAUCCAUUGAAGAAAUGAACAAGAUAUAACAGUUGCAUGUGACAUUUGAGUGAAAAGUUUUGUUCUGUUUCUGAGCUUUUAAUGCACAGAACAUGCAGAAGGAUCUGCCUGGAAUUGCUUAGCUCUCAAAUGCUGUUAGUUGGACAUUGGCAAGCACAAAAAGUGCUGGAAUCAGAGAGCCUGCUACUAUGAGAUGAUGUGUGAGAAGCAGUACAGGAUGAAAAAGGGGAUCCACAGCAGCUGAGGUAGCCCUGAGGAGGAGGCUUUUCAGGGAGCUUGUUUGGUUUGAGAGGUCCUUGGGCACCU